RNAcentral lists this ribosomal RNA (459 nucleotides) under uncultured bacterium. RNAcentral describes it as "partial 16S ribosomal RNA". It matches the Rfam family "Bacterial small subunit ribosomal RNA", at positions 338 to 795 of the family's 1533-position model. The record is from RNAcentral.
CCUACGGGAGGCUGCAGUGAGGAAUAUUGGUCAAUGGCCGAGAGGCUGAACCAGCCAAGUCGCGUGAGGGAAGACGGCCCUACGGGUUGUAAACCUCUUUUGUCGGGGAGCAAAGCGAACCACGUGUGGUUCAUUGAGAGUACCCGAAGAAAAAGCAUCGGCUAACUCCGUGCCAGCAGCCGCGGUAAUACGGAGGAUGCGAGCGUUAUCCGGAUUUCUUGGGGUUAAAGGGGGCGCAGCCGGAGGUGAAAGUCAGCGGUCAAAUUGCGGGGCUCAACCCCGUACUGCCGUUGAAACUGCAUCCCUUGAGUGCGCGAGAAGUAUGCGGAAUGCGUGGUGUAGCGGUGAAAUGCAUAGAGAUCACGCAGAACUCCGAUUGCGAAGGCAGCAUACCGGCGCGCAACUGACGCUCAUGCACGAAAGCGUGGGUAUCGAACAGGAUUAGAUACCCUAGUAGUC